This 466-nucleotide ribosomal RNA is filed under the name Lactiplantibacillus plantarum. RNAcentral's name for it is "bacterial SSU rRNA". It matches the Rfam family "Bacterial small subunit ribosomal RNA", at positions 1 to 438 of the family's 1533-position model. Lineage: Bacteria; Bacillati; Bacillota; Bacilli; Lactobacillales; Lactobacillaceae. The record is from RNAcentral.
UUAAUUUGAGAGUUUGAUCCUGGCUCAGGACGAACGCUGGCGGCGUGCCUAAUACAUGCAAGUCGAACGAACUCUGGUAUUGAUUGGUGCUUGCAUCAUGAUUUACAUUUGAGUGAGUGGCGAACUGGUGAGUAACACGUGGGAAACCUGCCCAGAAGUGGGGGAUAACACCUGGAAACAGAUGCUAAUACCGCAUAACAACUUAGACCGCAUGGUCCGAGUUUGAAAGAUGGCUUCGGCUAUCACUUUUGGAUGGUCCCGCGGCGUAUUAGCUAGAUGGUGAGGUAACGGCUCACCAUGGCAAUGAUACGUAGCCGACCUGAGAGGGUAAUCGGCCACAUUGGGACUGAGACACGGCCCAAACUCCUACGGGAGGCAGCAGUAGGGAAUCUUCCACAAUGGACGAAAGUCUGAUGGAGCAACGCCGCGUGAGUGAAGAAGGGUUUCGGCUCGUAAAACUCUGUUG